AUUGAACGCUGGCGGCAUGCCUAACACAUGCAAGUCGAACGGCAGCACGGCAGUAGCAAUACUGUGGGUGGCGAGUGGCGGACGGGUGAGGAAUACGUCGGAAUCUGCCCAAUUGUGGGGGAUAACUAAUCGAAAGGUUAGCUAAUACCGCAUACGACCGAGAGGUGAAGGCGGGGGACCGCAAGGCCUCGCGCGAUUGGAUGAGCCGACGUCGGAUUAGCUUGUUGGUGGGGUAAAGGCCUACCAAGGCGACGAUCCGUAGCUGGUCUGAGAGGAUGAUCAGCCACACUGGAACUGAGACACGGUCCAGACUCCUACGGGAGGCAGCAGUGGGGAAUAUUGGACAAUGGGCGAAAGCCUGAUCCAGCAAUGCCGCGUGUGUGAAGAAGGCCUCGGUUGUAAG
Molecule: ribosomal RNA, 403 nt
Filed under: uncultured bacterium
Lineage: Bacteria
Description: bacterial SSU rRNA
Rfam family: Bacterial small subunit ribosomal RNA
Source: RNAcentral